GACGAAGGGGGCUAGCGUUGUUCGGAAUUACUGGGCGUAAAGGGCGCGUAGGCGGUUCUUUAAGUCAGGCGUGAAAGCCCUGGGCUCAACCUGGGAGUGGCGCCUGAUACUGAGGAGCUAGAGAGUGGGAGAGGUUGGUGGAAUUCCCAGUGUAGAGGUGAAAUUCGUAGAUAUUGGGAAGAACACCGGUGGCGAAGGCGGCCAACUGGACCAUUUCUGACGCUGAGGUGCGAAAGCGUGGGGAGCAAACAGG
This 253-nucleotide ribosomal RNA is filed under the name uncultured bacterium. RNAcentral's name for it is "partial 16S ribosomal RNA". It matches the Rfam family "Bacterial small subunit ribosomal RNA", at positions 524 to 776 of the family's 1533-position model. The record is from RNAcentral.